RNAcentral lists this ribosomal RNA (492 nucleotides) under uncultured bacterium. RNAcentral describes it as "partial 16S ribosomal RNA". It matches the Rfam family "Bacterial small subunit ribosomal RNA", at positions 29 to 507 of the family's 1533-position model. The record is from RNAcentral.
AGUGAACGCUGGCGGUAGGCCUAACACAUGCAAGUCGAACGGCAGCACAGUAAGAGCUUGCUCUUACGGGUGGCGAGUGGCGGACGGGUGAGGAAUACAUCGGAAUCUACUUUUUCGUGGGGGAUAACGUAGGGAAACUUACGCUAAUACCGCAUACGACCUACGGGUGAAAGCAGGGGAUCUUCGGACCUUGCGCGAUUGAAUGAGCCGAUGUCGGAUUAGCUAGUUGGCUGGGUAAAGGCCCACCAAGGCGACGAUCCGUAGCUGGUCUGAGAGGAUGAUCAGCCACACUGGAACUGAGACACGGUCCAGACUCCUACGGGAGGCAGCAGUGGGGAAUAUUGGACAAUGGGCGCAAGCCUGAUCCAGCAAUACCGCGUGGGUGAAGAAGGCCUUCGGGUUGUAAAGCCCUUUUGUUGGGAAAGAAAAGAAGCAGGUUAAUCCCCCGCUGUUCUGACGGUACCCAAAGAAUAAGCACCGGCUAACUUCGUG